AGCGGGGUAGCGCAGUUAGGCAGCGCGUGGGGCUCAUAACCCCGAGGCCGCGGGUUCGAAUCCCGCCCCCGCCACCA
RNAcentral lists this transfer RNA (77 nucleotides) under Streptomyces smaragdinus. Its description in RNAcentral is "Streptomyces sp. RB5 tRNA-Met". It matches the Rfam family "tRNA". From Rfam's summary of the family: Transfer RNA (tRNA) molecules are approximately 80 nucleotides in length. Their secondary structure includes four short double-helical elements and three loops (D, anti-codon, and T loops). The record is from RNAcentral. Lineage: Bacteria; Bacillati; Actinomycetota; Actinomycetes; Kitasatosporales; Streptomycetaceae.